CCUACGGGGGGCUGCAGUGGGGAAUAUUGCACAAUGGGGGAAACCCUGAUGCAGCGACGCCGCGUGAGCGAAGAAGUAUUUCGGUAUGUAAAGCUCUAUCAGCAGGGAAGAAAAUGACGGUACCUGACUAAGAAGCCCCGGCUAACUACGUGCCAGCAGCCGCGGUAAUACGUAGGGGGCAAGCGUUAUCCGGAUUUACUGGGUGUAAAGGGAGCGUAGACGGCAUAGUAAGUCUGAUGUGAAAGGCGGGGGCUCAACCCCUGGACUGCAUUGGAAACUAUUAAGCUGGAGUGUCGGAGAGGUAAGUGGAAUUCCUAGUGUAGCGGUGAAAUGCGUAGAUAUUAGGAGGAACACCAGUGGCGAAGGCGGCUUACUGGACGAUAACUGACGUUGAGGCUCGAAAGCGUGGGGAGCAAACAGGAUUAGAUACCCUAGUAGUC
This 440-nucleotide ribosomal RNA is filed under the name uncultured Ruminococcus sp. RNAcentral describes it as "bacterial SSU rRNA". It matches the Rfam family "Bacterial small subunit ribosomal RNA", at positions 338 to 795 of the family's 1533-position model. The record is from RNAcentral. Lineage: Bacteria; Bacillati; Bacillota; Clostridia; Eubacteriales; Oscillospiraceae.